This 232-nucleotide long non-coding RNA is filed under the name Elaeis guineensis (African oil palm). RNAcentral describes it as "long non-coding RNA (EGUI_LNC052799)". Lineage: Eukaryota; Viridiplantae; Streptophyta; Magnoliopsida; Arecales; Arecaceae. The record is from RNAcentral.
AGCAACGGCUAUUUUUUUGUCCGUUUUAAUUGCCUUUUAUGCUUCCUAAAACUGCUCUAACGGCUCUUUAUCUGCCUAAUAUGUUUUCUCUUGUUUCUUAAGGCUAUAAAAGGUUUCAAAUGGUGAAAGAAAUUUCAGAAAAAAAAAUGAGAGAUCAAAUACAAAAGAGAGGAUCCAAAAUAUACACGAAGUGAUCAACGAGAUAUUCGAGAGAAAAAGAAAAGAGGAUCCA